Molecule: ribosomal RNA, 494 nt
Filed under: uncultured bacterium
Lineage: Bacteria
Description: partial 16S ribosomal RNA
Rfam family: Bacterial small subunit ribosomal RNA
Source: RNAcentral
GACGAACGCUGGCGGCGUGCUUAACACAUGCAAGUCGAACGGUGAAGCGCCUUCCUUUUUGGUGGGUGUGGAUGAGUGGCGAACGGGUGAGUAACACGUGAGUAACCUGCCCCCUUCUUCUGGAUAACCGCAUGAAAGUGUGGCUAAUACGGGAUAUUCUGGGUCUGUCGCAUGAUGGGUCUGGGAAAGAUAUUGUUUCGGUGGGGGAUGGGCUCGCGGCCUAUCAGCUUGUUGGUGGGGUGAUGGCCUACCAAGGCGGUGACGGGUAGCCGGCCUGAGAGGGUGGACGGUCACACUGGGACUGAGACACGGCCCAGACUCCUACGGGAGGCAGCAGUGGGGAAUAUUGAACAAUGGGCGCAAGCCUGAUGCAGCGACGCCGCGUGAGGGAUGGAGGCCUUCGGGUUGUGAACCUCUUUCGCCAGUGAAGCAUGCCUGCCUCGUUUGUGGGUGGGUUGACGGUAGCUGGAUAAGAAGCGCCGGCUAACUACGUG